Molecule: ribosomal RNA, 382 nt
Filed under: uncultured bacterium
Lineage: Bacteria
Description: bacterial SSU rRNA
Rfam family: Bacterial small subunit ribosomal RNA
Source: RNAcentral
UCGCAAGACAGGGGAAGACCUAGCGGCGAACGGGUGAGUAACACGUGAGCAACCUGCCCCGGAGACCGAGAUAACACCGGGAAACCGGUGCUAAUACCGGAUGCCCUCAAUGAAUCGCAUGGCUCAUUGAGGAAAUGGAUUCCGCUUCGGGAGGGGCUCGCGGCCUAUCAGCUUGUUGGUGGGGUAACGGCCUACCAAGGCUCCGACGGGUAGCUGUCUGAGAGGACGACCAGCCACACUGGGACUGAGACACGGCCCAGACUCCUACGGGAGGCAGCAGUGGGGAAUCUUGCGCAAUGGGCGAAAGCCUGACGCAGCAACGCCGCGUGGGGGACGAAGGCCUUCGGGUUGUAAACCCCUUUCAGCAGGGACGAAAAUGACG